Molecule: small nuclear RNA, 105 nt
Filed under: Colobus angolensis palliatus
Lineage: Eukaryota; Metazoa; Chordata; Mammalia; Primates; Cercopithecidae
Source: RNAcentral
GUGUUCGCUUCAGCAGCACAUAUACUAAAAUUGGAGUGAUACAGAGAAGAUUAGCAUGGCCCCUGUAAGGAUGACAUGCAAAUUGGUGAAGGGUUCCGUAUUUAA